GACGAACGCUGGCGGCGUGCCUAAUACAUGCAAGUAGAACGCUGAAGGAGGAGCUUGCUUCUCUGGAUGAGUUGCGAACGGGUGAGUAACGCGUAGGUAACCUGCCUGGUAGCGGGGGAUAACUAUUGGAAACGAUAGCUAAUACCGCAUAAGAGUAGAUGUCGCAUGACAUUUGCUUAAAAGGUGCAAUUGCAUCACUACCAGAUGGACCUGCGUUGUAUUAGCUAGUUGGUGAGGUAACGGCUCACCAAGGCAACGAUACAUAGCCGACCUGAGAGGGUGAUCGGCCACACUGGGAAUGAGACACGGCCCCGACUCCUACGGGAGGCCGCAGUAGGGAAUCUUCGGCCAUGGACGGAAGUCUGACCGAGCAACGCCGCGUGAGGGAAGAAGGUUUUCGGAUCGUAAAGCUCUGUUGUAAGAGAAGAACGAGUGUGAGAGUGGAAAGUUCACACUGUGACGGUAUCUUACCAGAAAGGGACGGCUAACUACGUG
This 495-nucleotide ribosomal RNA is filed under the name uncultured bacterium. RNAcentral describes it as "partial 16S ribosomal RNA". It matches the Rfam family "Bacterial small subunit ribosomal RNA", at positions 28 to 507 of the family's 1533-position model. The record is from RNAcentral.